Molecule: ribosomal RNA, 598 nt
Filed under: uncultured eukaryote
Lineage: Eukaryota
Description: SSU rRNA
Rfam family: Eukaryotic small subunit ribosomal RNA
Source: RNAcentral
UUACUUUGACUCAACACGCCGAAAGCUCAGCAGGUCCGGACCUGGUAACGAUUGACAGACUUGAGACCUCUGUCAUGAUUCUAUGCAUGCUGAUGCAUCGCCACUUCUUACUUGGUGGAGUGAUUCGUGUGGCUAAUUCCGUUAACGAACGAGACCUUAACCUGCUAAAUAGGUGCGCAAGCGCAAGCUUGUAGUGCGUUCUUAGAGGGACAAACCACGGUUAGUGGUUGGAAGUUUGAGGCAAUAACAGGUCUGUGAUGCCCUUAGAUGUUCUGGGCCGCACGCGCGCUACACUGACACAGUCAGCGAGUACUGCCUUGACCGAGAGGUCUGGGAAAUCUUGUGAAACUGUGUCGUGCUGGGGAUAGACCAUUGCAAUUAUUGGUCUUCAACGAGGAAUUCCUAAUAAGCGCAAGUCAUCAGCUUGCGUUGAUUACGUCCCUGCCCUUUGUACACACCGCCCGUCGUUACUACCGAUUGAAUGGCUUAGUGAGGCCUCCGGAUUGUGCUUGCCUUGAGCGAGUGUGAGAAGCUGGUCAAACUUGGUCAUUUAGAGGAAGUACAAGUCGUAACAAGGUUUCCGUAGGUGAACCUGCAG